UAAAAUAUGCUUUUUAAACAAAAUUGAAACAUUUACAUUUACUUUUUCUCCCUAUAUUUCCCCAAUUUAGAAACUCUUCCUGAGCACAUUUAAGUCAAUAAGAAUCUGUUCUUUUCAUAGUGAGACACAACUGGAGACACUGGCUUUGCCUGAACGUCAUCUGUGAGCAUUUGUGUGCAAUGCUGGCUCCCUAGUUUGGCUUCCACCCUUGAGGCUUGUGAAAAGCUACUCUGAGAUUUCUUCUCAAAUUUUCCACCAAAACAAAUUUUCAGUCUGUGGUUCUUCUGGUGUACUUCUGUAAACAAUCAGGAGUUUUGGAGCCAAGCUGGUCCUACUGUGAUUAUCUUUGGUAGAAAUGGAGAUGAUUACAGACAGAAAGCUCAGAGGAAUACUGUGGGCCCCCUCUCAUCAGAUCCUGGCCCUGUCAUUGCUUCUGAGUUCCUGACCCACCCACAGGGUGCAUAAGAUUCCUAUUGUCUGACUAUGACUCUAACAAGAAAAACAGAUGACUCAAAGUGAAUGCUGAGGCUGAGUCUGGACACCUGAAAAGUGAGCAGCACAGCAAGGUCACUGGGACACCCAGUGCUACAACCAGACUGAGACUGCAGACCAGGCUGAGGAGGUGAGGACUCCACAUGACAGGCAGCUUUUCCCAAGGCCACUGGAGCAAGGCUCUCUUAUCAUCGUGAGACACACACCCUCCUUGUCUGUCCUGGCUUAAGCCUGCUUUCUCCUGGGAUAAUGCUGUAGUUUCAUCUCAUGACCAGCAGCUUCUGUGGAUAACCUGAUGGAGCACUUAGUCUGUCCCCUCAAAACCACAUCUUUCCAAGUCCUAAUCUCUUAAUCCUCAAGUCUUAAUCCUCAUUUACCUUAGUGGGGGCUCUGGUAGCAUUCCCUGACACAGCUGUUUGUUCACCAUGGCACUAGUUGUUUCCUUCAGAAUCAGCUCUCUCUGCUGUGAUCUAAGCAUUGCCAGGAGGCGGUGACAGAACUGUCCCUACCAACCAUCAGAGAGGCAUCUGCAUCUACUGACAGCUUUUGAAACACAGAGUGGCUGCUGGACAUCUGAGGUUGAUCCCUGAAUACCACUGGCAGAGGAUGUGGAAACUGGCUGAGUCAAUGGAAACGCCUUCAAGAAUUCUAAAAGGGCCCUGAAUAGAAUCAUUUCCAGGAGAAAGCAGCCGUUGUUCAGGCUAGGACAACCACUAAGGAAGGCAGAAACGGCAGGUCUGUCCAACUGGCGAAGUGCAAAGAGGACAUUUUCAAAGAAGGAAAUGUAAACAUCGUCCAAAGCUGUCAACAUGAAGAGUGUUAGAACACUGUGCACAGUGUGUACAAAGGGGGUGUGCAGUAGGAAAGUCCCCCAGUGUCCUCCCACAGAAAGGACGUGGGGACAGAGCACCACUGUGAGCUGAAAUAGAGUGCUUGGAAUGAAAGAUUUGGAGGGUCCCAUCUGUUGUUUGUGUUUAAUUGUGCUGUGAAAUAAAACUUCCUCCUAAUAAAGAAAAGAAGAAUUUAGACAUCCAAUGGAAGAAGG
Molecule: long non-coding RNA, 1537 nt
Filed under: Heterocephalus glaber (naked mole-rat)
Lineage: Eukaryota; Metazoa; Chordata; Mammalia; Rodentia; Bathyergidae
Description: lncRNA (ENSHGLG00000048035.1)
Source: RNAcentral